UAGGGAAUCUUCGGCAAUGGACGGAAGUCUGACCGAGCAACGCCGCGUGAGUGAAGAAGGUUUUCGGAUCGUAAAGCUCUGUUGUUAGAGAAGAAUGUUGGCAGGAGUGGAAAAUCUACCAAGUGACGGUAACUAACCAGAAAGGGACGGCCAACUACGUGCCAGCAGCCGCGGUAAUACGUAGGUCUCGAGCGUUGUCCGGAUUUAUUGGGCGUAAAGCGAGCGCAGGCGGUUCUUUAAGUCUGAAGUUAAAGGCAGUGGCUUAACCAUUGUACGCUUUGGAAACUGGAGGACUUGAGUGCAGGAGGGGAGAGUGGAAUUCCAAGUGUAGCGGUGAAAUGCGUAGAUAUAUGGAGGAACACCGGUGGCGAAAGCAGCUCUCUGAUCUGUAACUGACGAUGAGGCUCGAAAGCGUGGGGAGCAAACAGG
RNAcentral lists this ribosomal RNA (429 nucleotides) under Bacillota bacterium. Its description in RNAcentral is "Firmicutes bacterium partial 16S ribosomal RNA". It matches the Rfam family "Bacterial small subunit ribosomal RNA", at positions 355 to 776 of the family's 1533-position model. Lineage: Bacteria; Bacillati; Bacillota. The record is from RNAcentral.